AACGCACCUUGCGCUCCUUGGCAUUCCGAGGAGCACGCCUGUUUGAGUGUCGUGAAAUUCUCAACCUACAUGGCUUUUGUUUUGUAGGCUUGGACUUGGAGGCGUUGCCGAUGUUUUUAUUUACGUUGGCUCCUCUCAAAUGCAUUAGCUAGCGUCCUUUGCGGAUCAGCUUUUCGGUGUGAUAAUUGUCUACGCCGUAGUUGUGAAGCGUUUUUGACCAGCUUCUAAUGGUCUUGUGAAAGAGACAAAAGAAAUUUCAUUUCAAUGACAAUCUGACCUCAGAUCAGGCGGGACUACCCGCUGAACUUAA
This 310-nucleotide unclassified non-coding RNA is filed under the name uncultured Royoporus. RNAcentral describes it as "partial contains 5.8S ribosomal RNA, internal transcribed spacer 2, and large subunit ribosomal RNA". The record is from RNAcentral. Lineage: Eukaryota; Fungi; Basidiomycota; Agaricomycetes; Polyporales; Polyporaceae.